RNAcentral lists this ribosomal RNA (413 nucleotides) under Salmonella enterica subsp. enterica serovar Virchow. RNAcentral's name for it is "partial 23S ribosomal RNA". It matches the Rfam family "Bacterial large subunit ribosomal RNA", at positions 711 to 1121 of the family's 2925-position model. Lineage: Bacteria; Pseudomonadati; Pseudomonadota; Gammaproteobacteria; Enterobacterales; Enterobacteriaceae. The record is from RNAcentral.
AGACCCGAAACCCGGUGAUCUAGCCAUGGGCAGGUUGAAGGUUGGGUAACACUAACUGGAGGACCGAACCGACUAAUGUUGAAAAAUUAGCGGAUGACCUGUGGCUGGGGGUGAAAGGCCAAUCAAACCGGGAGAUAGCUGGUUCUCCCCGAAAGCUAUUUAGGUAGCGCCUCGUGAAUUCAUCUCCGGGGGUAGAGCACUGUUUCGGCUAGGGGGCCAUCCCGGCUUACCAACCCGAUGCAAACUGCGAAUACCGGAGAAUGUUAUCACGGGAGACACACGGCGGGUGCUAACGUCCGUCGUGAAGAGGGAAACAACCCAGACCGCCAGCUAAGGUCCCAAAGUCAUGGUUAAGUGGGAAACGAUGUGGGAAGGCCCAGACAGCCAGGAUGUUGGCUUAGAAGCAGCCAUCA